This 581-nucleotide long non-coding RNA is filed under the name Pan troglodytes (chimpanzee). Its description in RNAcentral is "long non-coding RNA NONPTRT004464". Lineage: Eukaryota; Metazoa; Chordata; Mammalia; Primates; Hominidae. The record is from RNAcentral.
GGGCGCUGGUCGGUGCGCGGGCUGGGACGCUAAGUCAUGAGGAAUUAAACUGGGAAACCUGGCGUGGGUCCAGGCGCCUUCCAGGAGGCAUCCGGCGCGGCCCGGACGUGCUUCUACCCAGAACCACCCCCUCCAGGCCGGGGUGCACUUAACGGGGCUAUACAAAGAGUCUGACACUGUUAUUGCCCAUCUGAACUCGUCAACUGAGAAGGAAUGAGAUGGUUUAUGCUGUGAAUAAAAUACAGUUGUGCUGUGAUGUAAAUCCCCUCAUCCUGGAGCAGCUGAGCAAGGUCUAAGGCAGGAAGAACCUUCAAGCAGGUCAUGGCUGUAAGCCUCCUGAGUUUAUCCCAGCAAGUUGUAUAAGGGAUUAUCUUUUUAUCUGCAUAUUAUGACAUAUGUGAGGAUGUGUAAAGGUUUGGCAAGCACUGGCCUACUCAACAGCCAGUCCUACCUAACUGCAGAAAUCUUUCUUGUGGGCAAAUGUCAGGAGAUAGGGCCCAGGCCCAGGUCCAGCUACAAAGAAUGAAUACAAUUAAAGUGCUACUUCCAUUCACCUCACCCCAGAUUAGUUUAGGCAAGAG